AUCCGUGGAACUCUACAUGGCCGAAAACAAUGCUCAGUUUGAAGCUCUAGAAGCAAGAGAAAAUGUCUAAGAUAAAAAAAUUAGAUGCAUGCUACUGAGGAUUUAUGGGAGUAUACCAAAGCGUCAAUGGUAUUUAUGGAACACAUCCCAACUUUCUUGGCGGUUCAUAUGAAGCCUUUGAUACACAUAAUUAGUGGCCUGGGGACAGAGCACAAGGUGGAGAGGUAGACAGUGGUAGCAAUGCUGCCCAUGAUGGUGGAGAGGAGAUGUACUUUACCGAUGAAGAGCAAGAAGAUUGAUCAUUCAACAAUUCAUUCAUUCAGUUACUUUUUCUUUCUUGCACUUUAAAUUAAUGUUUUGAACACUUUAUUUGUUGUUUUGAACACUUUAUUUGUUGUUUUGAACAUUUGGGUACCUUUUUAUGGUGUGUCUGGAUUGUUUAAAUUGAUUUGUUAUUAGUUUGUUCGGUGUG
RNAcentral lists this long non-coding RNA (472 nucleotides) under Lupinus angustifolius (narrow-leaved blue lupine). RNAcentral describes it as "long non-coding RNA (LANG_LNC002677)". The record is from RNAcentral. Lineage: Eukaryota; Viridiplantae; Streptophyta; Magnoliopsida; Fabales; Fabaceae.